UACGUAGGCAGCAAGCGUUGUUCGGAAUUACUGGGCGUAAAGAGUGUGUAGGCGGUGCUCUAAGUUCGUUGUGAAAUCUCCCGGCUUAACUGGGAGGGUGCGGCGGAAACUGGAGUGCUUGAGCGCGGGAGAGGAAAGCGGAAUUCCUGGUGUAGCCGUGAAAUGCGUAGAUAUCAGGAGGAACACCAAUUGCGAAGGCAGCUCGCUGGGACGUUACUGACGCUGAGACGCGAAAGCGUGGGGAGCAAACAGG
RNAcentral lists this ribosomal RNA (253 nucleotides) under uncultured bacterium. RNAcentral describes it as "partial 16S ribosomal RNA". It matches the Rfam family "Bacterial small subunit ribosomal RNA", at positions 524 to 776 of the family's 1533-position model. The record is from RNAcentral.